UCCGAGUGGUCCAAUCGUUAGUCGGAAUCACUGGGCUUAAAGGGUGCGUAGGCGGAUCGGAAAGCGUCUUGUGAAAUCCCCCGGCUCAACCGGGGAACAGCAGGGCGAACUACCGGUCUUGAGGAAGGUAGAGGCCGGCGGAACGAUCGGUGGAGCGGUGGAAUGCGUAGAGAUCGAUCGGAACGCCAAAGGUGAAGACAGCCGGCUGGGCCUUUCCUGACGCUGAGGCACGAAAGCGUGGGGAGAAAACAGG
RNAcentral lists this ribosomal RNA (253 nucleotides) under uncultured bacterium. Its description in RNAcentral is "partial 16S ribosomal RNA". It matches the Rfam family "Bacterial small subunit ribosomal RNA", at positions 524 to 776 of the family's 1533-position model. The record is from RNAcentral.